This 1343-nucleotide ribosomal RNA is filed under the name uncultured bacterium. Its description in RNAcentral is "16S ribosomal RNA". It matches the Rfam family "Bacterial small subunit ribosomal RNA", at positions 28 to 1378 of the family's 1533-position model. The record is from RNAcentral.
GACGAACGCUGGCGGCGUGCUUAACACAUGCAAGUCGAACGGAAAGGCCCUGCUUUUGUGGGGUGCUCGAGUGGCGAACGGGUGAGUAACACGUGAGUAACCUGCCCUUGACUUUGGGAUAACUUCAGGAAACUGGGGCUAAUACCGGAUAGGAGCUCCUGCUGCAUGGUGGGGGUUGGAAAGUUUCGGCGGUUGGGGAUGGACUCGCGGCUUAUCAGCUUGUUGGUGGGGUAGUGGCUUACCAAGGCUUUGACGGGUAGCCGGCCUGAGAGGGUGACCGGCCACAUUGGGACUGAGAUACGGCCCAGACUCCUACGGGAGGCAGCAGUGGGGAAUAUUGCACAAUGGGCGGAAGCCUGAUGCAGCAACGCCGCGUGCGGGAUGACGGCCUUCGGGUUGUAAACCGCUUUCGCCUGUGACGAAGCGUGAGUGACGGUAAUGGGUAAAGAAGCACCGGCUAACUACGUGCCAGCAGCCGCGGUGAUACCUAGGGUGCGAGCGUUGUCCCGAUUUAUUGGGCGUAAAGGGCUCGUAGGUGGUUGAUCGCGUCGGAAGUGUAAUCUUGGGGCUUAACCCUGAGCGUGCUUUCGAUACGGGUUGACUUGAGGAAGGUAGGGGAGAAUGGAAUUCCUGGUGGAGCGGUGGAAUGCGCAGAUAUCAGGAGGAACACCAGUGGCGAAGGCGGUUCUCUGGGCCUUUCCUGACGCUGAGGAGCGAAAGCGUGGGGAGCGAACAGGCUUAGAUACCCUGGUAGUCCACGCUGUAAACGGUGGGUACUAGGUGUGGGGUCCAUUCCACGGGUUCCGUGCCGUAGCUAACGCUUUAAGUACCCCGCCUGGGGAGUACGGCCGCAAGGCUAAAACUCAAAGGAAUUGACGGGGCCCCGCACAAGCGGCGGAGCAUGCGGAUUAAUUCGAUGCAACGCGUAGAACCUUACCUGGGUUUGACAUGGAUCGGGAGCGCUCAGAGAUGGGUGUGCCUCUUUUGGGGUCGGUUCACAGGUGGUGCAUGGCUGUCGUCAGCUCGUGUCGUGAGAUGUUGGGUUAAGUCCCGCAACGAGCGCAACCCUUGUUCACUGUUGCCAGCACGUUAUGGUGGGGACUCAGUGGAGACCGCCGGGGUCAACUCGGAGGAAGGUGGGGAUGACGUCAAGUCAUCAUGCCCCUUAUGUCCAGGGCUUCACGCAUGCUACAAUGGCUGGUACAGAGAGUGGCGAGCCUGUGAGGGUGAGCGAAUCUCGGAAAGCCGGUCUCAGUUCGGAUUGGGGUCUGCAACUCGACCUCAUGAAGUCGGAGUCGCUAGUAAUCGCAGAUCAGCAACGCUGCGGUGAAUACGUUCCCGGG